Molecule: long non-coding RNA, 250 nt
Filed under: Sorghum bicolor (sorghum)
Lineage: Eukaryota; Viridiplantae; Streptophyta; Magnoliopsida; Poales; Poaceae
Description: long non-coding RNA (SBIC_LNC013122)
Source: RNAcentral
CGCCACCUGCACCUCGACCGGCGCCAUCUCCCUCGACGACCUACCCGACGACGAGGACGACGUGGACGCCGCGUACGCCCCCUCCGACGAGCACGACAGGUUCGACGCCGACCUCGCCGGGACCGGAGCCCCCUCCGAUGAGCACGACAGGUUCGACGACGACGACCUCGCCGGAGGCUGCGUCCCCGCCGCCACUGCGCGGAGCACGGCUACCCUCGCCUCCUCGCCCGAAGGCGACACGGGCGCCGCG